Molecule: ribosomal RNA, 244 nt
Filed under: uncultured bacterium
Lineage: Bacteria
Description: partial 16S ribosomal RNA
Rfam family: Bacterial small subunit ribosomal RNA
Source: RNAcentral
AAUCAACGCUGGCGGCGUGCCUAACACAUGCAAGUCGAACGCGAAAGCCCCUUCGGGGGUAAGUAGAGUGGCGUCCGGGUGAGUAACACGUAGGUAAUCUACCUUCGGGUGGGGAAUAACCAGUCGAAAGAUUGGCUAAUACCGCAUAAUGCAGCGGCACCUAAUGGUGAUUAGUUGUUAAAGCGGGGGAUCGUAAGACCUCGCGCCUGAAGAGGAGCCUGCGGCAGAUUAGCUAGUUGGGAGU